AGUAAUAUUACCAGAUGAUUUUCUGAUGAAUGACCGGUGAAUGUAUUUAUUUUUUCAGCUAUAGCGGAAUUUGUGUGCCUUCAAAUGCUGGAGCACUGUAUGUUUUAGAACUAUCAUCCAUUCAUGGCAGUACUGAUACAGACAAGGGAAAGAACAGGCCUCCUGGAAUGUCUACAACCUCUGUAGGAAUUAGCCCCUUUCAAGACGAUAUAACUCAAGAAAAGGCCAGACUCGAUGAUAAAGGCAAAGCGAGGCGAAAAUGAACACUAGACCAGGAUGGCCCUUGAAAAAUUGCAGGCACAGUUGCAAAACCCCAGGUAGAAACAACUUCAGAGACCGCCAAGAAACAGAAAACCAGAUUUUAAUGGAAGUAUUUUCAUAAUAAUCGCAUUGGAUUAAAACCCAUGUACUGUCCAUUUCUGUCUUGAAACGAUAAUCCUAUUUUCAGAACAUAACAGGAGGAUACUACUACUCCAUUCCCUGUACCAAGACGUCCGUUGCAUCACAUAACAAAUUGUCUGUAGGCUGCAUGUCUUCUCCUUCGAUUAAUGGCUUCAUAACAAAUUGUCUGUAGGCUGCAUGUCUUCUCCUUCGAUUAAUGUCUUCGUCCAUAUCAAUUGCUAGUACACCGUUUCUAUAUACAUUGGCAAGAUCCAGAACUCGUGGCUCUAAACAAUACUGUUCAAACUUCUGAAAAAAUUAAAUUAAAGAUACAUUAUGCGAGAUUAGAUAACGAGUUGGCAGUUCGCACUAUAAUAGUUAAAAACUAGAUAAUGUAAAGGCAAUUUGCUGAAAAUAUCUGUCAAAUUGAUCCACUAUGAACCGAGAAAUAAGUGAUCGAAAGUUCCGCAUAGCCUUGGUUAUCAUUACUAAAGUCGGUACGACAAAAAUCAUAGUCUAGAUUAUCCAUUUAAUCAUUAAAUCGAGAAGGAAAGUUAUGCAGCAAAUCGUAUCAUAA
This is a long non-coding RNA of Patella vulgata (common limpet), 958 nucleotides long. RefSeq lists it as uncharacterized. Lineage: Eukaryota; Metazoa; Mollusca; Gastropoda; Patellidae. The transcript is spliced from 3 exons. The record is from RefSeq and is a predicted model, not a curated record.